GUCGCCUUUUAAAAAAAUCCCUGCGGUGGGUGGGAAGGAGCUGGAUCUUCACGGUCUCUACACCAGAGUCACUACUUUAGGCGGAUUCGCGAAGGUUUCUGAGAAGAAUCAGUGGGGAGAAAUCGUUGAAGAGUUCAACUUUCCCAGAAGUUGUUCUAACGCUGCCUUUGCUUUAAAACAGUAUUACUUGCGUUACCUAGAAAAGUACGAGAAAGUUCAUCAUUUUGGGGAGGAUGAUGAUGAGGUACCACCAGGCAAUCCAAAGCCACAGCUUCCUAUUGGUGCAAUUCCAUCUUCCUACAAUUACCAGCAACACAGUGUGUCAGAUUAUCUGCGUCAAAGUUAUGGGCUAUCUAUGGACUUUAAUUCGCCAAAUGAUUAUAAUAAAUUGGUGCUUUCACUGUUAUCUGGACUCCCAAAUGAAGUGGACUUUGCUAUUAAUGUAUGCACUCUUCUAUCAAAUGAAAGCAAGCAUGUCAUGCAACUUGAAAAAGACCCUAAAAUCAUCACUUUAUUACUUGCUAAUGCCGGGGUGUUUGAUGACACGUUAGGAUCCUUUUCUACUGUAUUUGGAGAAGAAUGGAAAGAGAAGACCGAUAGAGAUUUUGUUAAGUUUUGGAAAGAUAUUGUUGAUGAUAAUGAAGUUCGUGACCUCAUUUCUGACAGAAACAAGUCUCAUGAAGGUACAUCAGGAGAAUUGAUUUGGGAAUCUUUAUUUCAUCCACCUCGAAAGCUGGGCAUUAACGAUAUUGAAGGACAACGGGUACUUCAGAUUGCAGUGAUUUUGCGAAAUCUUUCCUUUGAGGAGGGCAAUGUUAAGCUCUUGGCAGCUAAUCGUACCUGUCUUCGUUUCCUAUUACUUUCUGCACAUAGUCAUUUUAUUUCUUUAAGGCAAUUAGGCCUUGACACAUUAGGAAAUAUUGCAGCUGAGCUUUUAUUGGACCCUGUUGAUUUCAAAACUACUCAUCUGAUGUUUCAUACUGUUACAAAAUGCCUAAUGUCAAGGGAUAGAUUUUUAAAGAUGAGGGGCAUGGAAAUUUUGGGAAAUCUAUGUAAAGCAGAAGAUAAUGGUGUUUUAAUUUGUGAAUAUGUGGAUCAGGAUUCUUACAGAGAGAUCAUUUGUCAUCUCACUUUACCUGAUGUGCUGCUUGUAAUUUCAACACUUGAGGUGCUAUACAUGCUUACUGAAAUGGGAGAUGUUGCUUGCACAAAAAUUGCAAAAGUAGAAAAGAGCAUAGACAUGUUAGUGUGUCUGGUUUCUAUGGAUAUUCAGAUGUUUGGCUCUGAUGCACUAGCUGCAGUAAAACUCGUCGAACAUCCAAGUUCCAGUCCUCAAGUUUUAUCUGAAAUCAGACCACAAGCUAUAGAGCAAGUCCCAACCCAGACCCAUGUAGCUUCUACCCCAGCUUCCAGAACAGUUGUAGCACAGCAUGUCGCUCCACCACCAGGAAUAGUGGAAAUAGAUAGUGAGAAGUUUGCUUGUCAGUGGCUAAAUGCUCAUUUCGAAGUAAAUCCAGAUUGUUCUGUAUCUCGGGCAGAAAUGUAUUCUGAAUACCUCUCAACUUGCAGUAAAUUAGCUCGUGGUGGAAUCCUAACAUCAACUGGAUUCUAUAAAUGUCUUAGAACGGUCUUUCCAAAUCAUACAGUGAAGAGAGUGGAAGAUUCCAGUAAUAGUGGGCAGGCACAUAUUCAUGUGGUAGGAGUAAAACGGAGGGCUAUACCACUUCCCAUUCAGAUGUACUAUCAACAGCAACCAGUUUCUACUCCUGUUGUUCGUGUUGAUUCUGUUCCUGAUAUAUCUCCAACUCCUUCACCUGCAGGAAUCCCUCAUGGAUCACAAACUGUAGGCAACCAUUUUCAGAGGACUCCUGUUACCAACCAAUCUCCAAAUCUGACUGCAACACAAAUGUCUUUUCCAGUACAAGGUGUUCAUACUGUGGCACAGACUGUUUCAAGAAUUCCACCAAAUCCUUCACUUCAUACUCACCAGCAGCAAAAUGCUCCAGUGACUGUCAUUCAAAAUAAAGCUCCCGUUUCUUGUGAAGUUGUUAAAGCUACAGUAAUUCAGAAUUCUAUAUCCCAGACAGCAGUUCCUGUUAGUAUUGCUGUUGGAGGAGGACCUACACAGAGUUCUGUUGUUCAGAAUCAUAAUACAGGACCACAACCUGUUACGGUUGUGAAUUCUCAGACAUUGCUUCACCACCCAUCUGUAAUUCCACAGCAAUCUCCAUUACAUACAGUGGUACCUGGACAGAUAACUUCAGGCACUCCUGUUACAGUAAUUCAGCAAGCUGUCCCACAGAGUCAUAUAUUUGGCAGAGUACAGAAUAUACCAGCAUGUACUUCUACAGUUUCACAGGGUCAACCGUUAAUCACCACAUCACCCCAGCCUGUGCAGACUUCAUCUCAACAGACAUCAGCUGGUAGCCAGCCGCAAGACACUGUCAUCAUAGCACCUCCACCGUAUGUUACAACUUCUGCAUCCAAUAUUGUCUCAGCAACUUCAGUACAGAAUUUUCAGGUUGCUGCAGGGCAAAUGGUUACCAUUGCUGGUGUCCCAAGCCCACAACCUUCAAGGGUAGGAUUUCAAAACAUUGCACCUAAACCUCUCCCUUCUCAGCAGGUUUCAUCAACAGUGGUACAGCAGCCUAUUCAACAACCACAGCAGCCAACCCAACAAAGUGUGGUGAUUGUAAGCCAGCCAGCUCAACAAGGUCAAACUUAUGCACCAGCCAUUCACCAAAUUGUUCUUGCGAAUCCAGCAGCUCUUCCAGCUGGUCAAACAGUUCAGCUUACUGGACAACCAAACAUAACUCCAUCUUCUUCACCAUCACCUGUCCCAGCCACUAAUAACCAAGUCCCCACUGCCAUGUCUUCUUCUACCCCUCAGUCACAGGGACCACCUCCUACUGUCAGUCAGAUGCUAUCUGUGAAAAGGCAACAACAGCAGCAGCAUUCACCAGCACCCCCACCACAACAGGUACAAGUACAAGUUCAACAGCCACAGCAAGUACAGAUGCAAGUUCAACCUCAGCAGACUAAUGCAGGAGUUGGUCAGCCUGCAUCUGGUGAGUCUAGUCUGAUAAAACAGCUGCUGCUUCCAAAGCGUGGUCCUUCAACUCCAGGUGGUAAACUUAUUCUCCCAGCUCCUCAGAUUCCUCCCCCUAAUAAUGCAAGAGCUCCUAGCCCUCAGGUGGUCUAUCAGGUGGCCAAUAACCAAGCAGCAGGUUUUGGAGUGCAGGGGCAAACUCCAGCUCAGCAGUUAUUGGUUGGGCAGCAAAAUGUUCAGUUGGUCCAAAGUGCAAUGCCACCCACAGGGGGAGUACAAACUGUGCCCAUCUCAAACUUACAAAUAUUGCCAGGUCCACUGAUCUCAAAUAGCCCAGCAACCAUUUUCCAAGGGACUUCUGGCAACCAGGUAACCAUAACAGUUGUGCCAAAUACAAGUUUUGCAACUGCAACUGUGAGUCAGGGAAAUGCAACACAGCUCAUUGCUCCAGCAGGAAUUACUAUGAGCGGAACGCAGGCAGGAGUUGGACUUCAAGUGCAAACGCUUCCAGCCACUCAAGCAUCUACUGCUGGACAAUCAUUGUGUACUACUGCUACUCCCCCAUUCAAAGGUGAUAAAAUAAUUUGCCAAAAGGAGGAGGAAGCAAAGGAAGCAACAGGUUUGCAUGUUCAUGAACGUAAAAUUGAAGUCAUGGAGAACCCCUCCUGCCGACGAGGAAUCACAAACACCAGCAAUGGGGAUACAAAGGAAAAUGAAAUGCAGGUGGGAAGUCUUUUAAAUGGGAGAAAGUACAGUGACUCAAGUCUACCUCCUUCAAACUCAGGGAAAAUCCAAAGUGAGGCUAAUCAGUGCUCGCUAAUCAGUAAUGGGCCAUCAUUAGAAUUAGAUGAGAAUGGAGCAUCUGGAAAACUGAACUCAGAACCAAUGGACACACAGGAUAUCAAAAGUGAUCUGAAGAAACCCCUAGUUAAUGGGAUCUGUGAUUUUGAUAAAGGAGAUGGCUCUCAUUUAAGCAAAAACAUUCCAAAUCACAAAACUUCCAAUCAUGUAGGAAAUGGUGAGAUAUCUCCAGUGGAACCACAAGGGACUUUAGAUACCACUCAGCAAGAAACUGCCAAAGGUGAUCAGCUAGAAAGAAUUUCUAAUGGACCUGUAUUAACUUUGGGUGGUUCACCAUCUGUGAGCAGUAUACAGGAGGCCUCAAAUAUGGCCACACAGCAAUUUAGUGGUACUGAUUUGCCUAAUGGACCUGUAGCUUCAAGUUUGAAUUCAGAUGUGCCUCAGCAACGCCCAAGUGUAGUUGUCUCACCACAUUCUACAACCUCUGUUAUACAGGGGCAUCAAAUCAUAGCAGUUCCCCACUCAGGAUCAAGGGUGUCCCAUUCUCCUGCCCUGUCAUCUGAUGUUCGGUCUACAAAUGGCACAGCAGAAUGCAAAACUGUUAAGAGGCCAGCAGAGGAUAAUGAUAGGGAAACAGUCACAGGAAUUCCAAAUAAAGUAGGAGUUAGAAUUGUUACAAUCAGUGACCCCAACAAUGCUGGCUGCAGUGCAACAAUGGUUGCUGUGCCAGCAGGAGCAGAUCCAAGCACUGUAGCUAAAGUAGCAAUAGAAAGUGCUGUUCAGCAAAAGCAGCAGCAUCCACCACCAUAUGUACAGAAUGUGGUCCCACAGAACACUCCUGUGCCACCUUCACCAGCUGUACAAGUGCAGGGCCAGCCUCAGAGUUCUCAGUCUUCAUUCAGUGCAUCCAGUCAACAUGGAGAUCCAAUGAGAAAACCUGGACAGAACUUCAUGUGUUUGUGGCAGUCUUGUAAAAAGUGGUUUCAGACACCGUCACAGGUUUUCUACCAUGCAGCUACUGAACAUGGAGGAAAAGAUGUAUAUCCAGGCCAGUGUCUUUGGGAAGGUUGUGAGCCUUUUCAGCGACAGAGGUUUUCUUUUAUAACCCACUUACAGGAUAAGCAUUGUUCAAAGGAUGCCCUGCUGGCAGGAUUAAAACAAGAUGAACCAGGACAGGCAGGAAAUCAAAAAUCUUCUACCAAGCAGCCAGCUGUAGGGGGCACAAGCUCAACUCCUAGAGCACAGAAGGCCAUUGUGAAUCAUCCCAGUGCUGCACUUAUGGCUCUAAGGAGAGGAUCAAGAAACCUUGUCUUUCGAGAUUUUACAGAUGAAAAAGAGGGACCAAUAACUAAACACAUCCGACUAACAGCUGCCUUAAUAUUAAAAAAUAUUGGUAAAUAUUCAGAAUGUGGUCGCAGAUUAUUAAAGAGACAUGAAAACAACUUAUCAGUGCUAGCCAUUAGUAACAUGGAAGCUUCCUCCACCCUUGCCAAAUGCCUUUAUGAACUUAAUUUUACAGUACAGAGUAAAGAACAAGAAAAAGACUCAGAAAUGCUGCAGUGAAAAAUAAUUCCACUUACACAGUGGGGACUCGAAGUCAGAUACAUUUCACAUACUGUUACUGAAGAAAGCACCAAGUCUUAAUGGAACAGAGACCAUAGAAUGAAUUAUUUUAUCUCCUCCCAUGAUGCUGAGAGGAAGUUUUGUAUUCUGAUCUCUGAGCGAAUCCCUUUGUUCUCUGUUUUAAAAAAUCUUUAAAAGAAAAAGAAAAAAAAGAACUGCUGUGGGAUUGUCAACCAGCUUAUCUGCAGGAUAUCUCUCAGAUCGAUAAAUCCUGAUGGAAACUGAACCACAAUGUAUACAAAUCUCCAACCUGAAUUUGGGGCCAGAUUCUUAGAGUGAAAGAACUUUGAUUUGGAUAUAAUUUUUUUUUAAUAUUUUGAUUGAAUUAGUAUCAGAGGAAAAUGGAAUUUCUCACUGAAGGAAGAUCCCUGGUCACCGACUCUGCCAUGUCUCAAAUGAAUACUUGAGAAACUUCAUCCAGCAUUAGUCGUGAUUAUUUCUUACCAGGAUUGUGUGAUUUUUACCCAGCCUGUCUGCCAAGACUGGGGCUGCCCC
Molecule: RNA transcript, 5968 nt
Organism: Tupaia belangeri chinensis (Chinese tree shrew)
Lineage: Eukaryota; Metazoa; Chordata; Mammalia; Scandentia; Tupaiidae
Gene: ARID2
Gene name: AT-rich interaction domain 2
Source: RefSeq, a predicted model, not a curated record